UGUUGGCAGAGGAGAUUAAUGUUACUUGGCAUCUUGUUUAGCAUGGUCAUUAUGGGCUGAAGGGCCUGUUUCUGGGC
Molecule: long non-coding RNA, 77 nt
Organism: Amblyraja radiata (thorny skate)
Lineage: Eukaryota; Metazoa; Chordata; Chondrichthyes; Rajiformes; Rajidae
Exons: 3
Source: RefSeq, a predicted model, not a curated record